Non-coding RNA from Rattus norvegicus (Norway rat), 69 nucleotides. NCBI's taxonomy places the organism in Eukaryota, Metazoa, Chordata, Mammalia, Rodentia, Muridae. The record is from Rfam.
GGGGAUUUGGCUCAGUGGUAGAGCGUUUGCCUAGCAAGCGCAAGGCCCUGGGUUCGGUCCCCAGCUCCG